Long non-coding RNA from Tympanuchus pallidicinctus (lesser prairie-chicken), 2582 nucleotides. RefSeq lists it as uncharacterized. NCBI's taxonomy places the organism in Eukaryota, Metazoa, Chordata, Aves, Galliformes, Phasianidae. The transcript has 3 exons. The record is from RefSeq and is a predicted model, not a curated record.
CACGGAAAAGGCUACAUUUACUGCAGUUCUCCAACAAUAUAAAAUGAACUGAAUUCACUUAGUUUCUGUUCCAGCAUCAGAUGGACUUGUGUCUGUCUAAGCUUAGGAAAGAACCAGGACAAACUAAGCUGUGCACUGCUGAAACAGAGAGGAGAAUGAGGAAGAUGUGCUCGGAUUUACAUUCUAGCUAGCUGCAUUAGUUCUAUGAAGGAAGAAUACAAAUGGGUAAAGCUGAUGAAGGAGGAUGGUGAGGAAGGAGCAUAAUCUGCUUGUAAUGCAAAUGGACCAUGAGAUUGGAAUGCUCAAACAAAGAAUUUCAAGCAUUCUUCACCGGGGUGCUGGCACCUUCUGUGUAAUGUGCACUGUGGAUCCUCAGAUCAUGCAACAUCUCAAGUGACAGGGAGCGAAGGUCUCUGUGAGGUAAAGGGCUUCUGCAAAGCACAUGCAAAGCUCCCACUUGCACAGCAGGACAAGUUAAUCGAGAAAGAAAGCUACCUCACAAACCAAGGGAGAAGCACUUCUCCAGGGGGGUGGCAGGAACAACGAACCAGAUCUCUGGAAAGAUGAAUAUGUUUAUUGCCUUUAUCAAGUCUUUCUUUUUCCUCUCUUGUAUGUUCCUGAGGUAUACUGAGCUGCAAUGCUGUUAAGAGGGAGAGGUGUAUUUGUUCUGAGUCAGGACUAGCUCAUAAGAAUGGAUAUAGUGACAGUUUCCAACGUGCCCCAGGCUGUGCCCAUCUGACAUCUCCAGCUGAAUGUCUCUGCAGCUGUCAUGAUUCUUGUUGGCAAGAGUUGGUCACUGAACGCUCCUUCUGAAUGCUGUGGUUGUUUCUCAGGAAUGAUAUUUUGCAUUUGACUGCGUAGUUUUUAGUAGGAACUAAACAGCCAUGCUGAGUCUCCAUAACAUAAUUAUGCCAUUGUCCUAAUCAGUUGCAGACUAUGCAUUGUCUGUCUUGAUCAUUGUGUUCUCAUUACAGUAAUUCUUCAAGAGCUUUACUGGAUACAUAACUCCUGAAUUUAUUUCACAGUUCUUUGUGUCUGCGGCAAUGCCAGUGGUGGAGCUGUGAAACCGAAAUCAGGAAAAGGGAAAAAUGAAAGUAGACCCCUACAGUGACCAACAUUAUUUUUUCAUUUAGAGCAAGUUUUGAUGCAAUUGUAUACUUGCUAUACUGGUUUAAUAAUGUAAAUGCUUACGUAUUUAUAUAAAUUCAGAGAACAAACAGAAUGUAAGACAUUCCAGAAAAGCUUUAUUCCUUGGAAUAAGAGGAAAGUAUAUAUUUAUUUUUCCUUCACCACCUAGUUUGCUGACAUUGCCUAUUGUCUUGUUAUCAUCAGGAGCUGCCUACAUUGCAGAACUGAAGAACUGAAGAGACAUAUUGUGCAAGUAAAUUAGCAGCACACCAGCGGAAAUGCACACUGCAGAAAAUCAGGCAGAACCUGCUAGGACUUGAGGAUAUUUGCACGUGUACCUGUUAUUGAAAAAGAUUUGAUCCAAAUUACUGUGUGAUUUGUGGAAACCUCUGCACCAAACGACACCUCCACAGCUGCAGCUCUUAGUCACAUCUAUUUUGCAUUCACAGCCUGGUACCUGUUCUCAUGUAACGUGUUAUUCUUGGCAUUUCACCAUUUCUGUCUCUAUAUAUUGUACUAAUUAGGCAACCUGAAGCAAUUAUGCAAUGUAAUCAAGCACUAAAAUUUAACACUUCACUGAUAAUUUUAAUAUGGAAAAGCCAUUCUGCUUUCUGAUAGCUUCAUUUGAUUUGAACUCCUUUGAAUAAUAAUGAGGUGAAACAGAGGUCUCUGAGGUAGUGUACUGACUUGAAAGCCAAUCUGAAAAGUGGCACUACAGAUCUAGUUCUCCUAAUAAUUUAUUUCAAAUGGCUAAAAAAACCAAAAAAACAAAAAAACCUGUUAUUUGUGCUUUAUGGUGAAUGAAUGAAAAAAUACACAUGCUUUGCUUAUUUAAACUAAUUGUUGGUAACAAAAUCAAAUUAAAUGCAAAAAGUCCAGAGAACCUGAAACUUGCUUACAUCUAAAGAAAUACAGUAAGCUAAGCAGUGUCUUUACCGUCUUUUCCAUCCCUGCUUUGAGCCAUAUGACUGCGUAAAGGUCUUAUGCUUAUUCUUGUGCUGAAACUCAGACAGUGGAAGAUUUGUGCUUUUCUUUUCAACACUAGCUUCUCUCUCCAAAAAUUUUAUCUGUUAUCACCUGCUGUUAUAUUCAAAAUUUGUGAUUGACGUGCUGUGACUACGUGCACACCAAGGGACUGCAGCUGCUCGACGUAUAUCCUUUCCUCUAGACCCUUCAUCAUCGUUGUAGCCCUCUUUUGGACACUCUUACAGGUUUAUGUCAUUCUCGUACUGUGGCACCCAGUGCUGUAGGUGAGGCUGCACAGUGCAGAGCAGAGGGGGAAGCCAUUCCCCUCACCUGGUGGCAGCACUGGGCCUGCUGCACCUCAGGCUACGGUUGACCUUUUGGGCUCCAGAGCACACUGCUGCCUCAUGUUCAACUCACUGUUAGACAGAACCCCGCAAUCCCUUCCCACAGGGCUACUCUCCAAAUUCUCAUCCCCAGUCUGUAUGUAC